CAGUCGCCGCGGGAAUACGGAGGGGGCUAGCGUUGUUCGGAAUUACUGGGCGUAAAGCGCACGUAGGCGGCUUGGUAAGUUAGAGGUGAAAGCCCGGAGCUCAACUCCGGAAUUGCCUUUAAGACUGCCGAGCUAGCAGGUGAGAGAGGUAAGUGGAAUUCCGAGUGUAGAGGUGAAAUUCGUAGAUAUUCGGAAGAACACCAGUGGCGAAGGCGGCUUACUGGCUCAUACUGGACGCUGAGGUGCGAAAGCGUGGGGAGCAAACAGGAUUAGAUACCCCUGUAGUCCCUGUCUCUUAUAA
RNAcentral lists this ribosomal RNA (301 nucleotides) under uncultured bacterium. Its description in RNAcentral is "partial 16S ribosomal RNA". It matches the Rfam family "Bacterial small subunit ribosomal RNA", at positions 509 to 809 of the family's 1533-position model. The record is from RNAcentral.